Molecule: long non-coding RNA, 381 nt
Organism: Drosophila arizonae
Lineage: Eukaryota; Metazoa; Arthropoda; Insecta; Diptera; Drosophilidae
Source: RefSeq, a predicted model, not a curated record
UUUAGUCGCGAGCUCUUCACGCUGCAAGUUGACUUUGUACUAUGGCUUGUUGGCAGCCAGGUUGAGUUGCUUUUAUAACACACUUGAGCACGCACACACACACAUGUGCAGACAUGCACAUGGCAGCGACGCCGGCGCAGCAAGCUCUUCAUUUUGGGCACUCGGAUCUGGCUUUUUGGUUAUGGGACAAGUUGUUUAACUUUUUGUUGUUGCCGCUGUCGCUGCUGAUGCUGUCGCUUAUGCAUUUGAGUUGCGAUCUUGGGGCUUUCUGUAUUUCAAAUUUUGUGCAUUUUGCAAUCGCCGACAGUGGCUGCAAUUUGUCGAAGUACAGAGAUGAGCCCUAGCAGCAGCAGCAGCAGCAGUAGCAGCAGCAGCAGCAGC